GGCCCCGUGGCGGAAUUGGCAGACGCGUAGGAUUUAGGUUCCUAUAUUCGCAAGAGUGUUCCGGUUCGACCCCGGACGGGGCCACCA
This 87-nucleotide transfer RNA is filed under the name Bryobacterales bacterium. Its description in RNAcentral is "tRNA-Leu". Lineage: Bacteria; Pseudomonadati; Acidobacteriota; Terriglobia; Bryobacterales. The record is from RNAcentral.